This is a non-coding RNA of Tubulinosema ratisbonensis, 72 nucleotides long. The record is from the annotation of a GenBank genome assembly. Lineage: Eukaryota; Fungi; Microsporidia; Tubulinosematidae.
GGGGAAUUAGCUCAGCGGUAGAGCGCUUGAUCCGCAAUUAAGAGGUCGCGGGUUCAAAUCCUGUAUUCUCCA